Molecule: ribosomal RNA, 304 nt
Filed under: uncultured bacterium
Lineage: Bacteria
Description: partial 16S ribosomal RNA
Rfam family: Bacterial small subunit ribosomal RNA
Source: RNAcentral
CAGCAGUCGCCGCGGGAAUACGAAGGGGGCUAGCGUUGCUCGGAAUCACUGGGCGUAAAGGGUGCGUAGGCGGGUCUUUAAGUCAGGGGUGAAAUCCUGGAGCUCAACUCCAGAACUGCCUUUGAUACUGAAGAUCUUGAGUUCGGGAGAGGUAAGUGGAACUGCGAGUGUAGAGGUGAAAUUCGUAGAUAUUCGCAAGAACACCAGAGGCGAAGGCGGCUUACUGGCUCGAAACUGACGCUGAGGCGCGAAAGCGUGGGGAGCAAACAGGAUUAGAUACCCCCGUAGUCCCUGUCUCUUAUAC